Molecule: RNase P RNA, 377 nt
Filed under: Demequina litoralis
Lineage: Bacteria; Bacillati; Actinomycetota; Actinomycetes; Micrococcales; Demequinaceae
Description: RNase P RNA component class A
Rfam family: Bacterial RNase P class A
About the family: Ribonuclease P (RNase P) is a ubiquitous endoribonuclease, found in archaea, bacteria and eukarya as well as chloroplasts and mitochondria. Its best characterised activity is the generation of mature 5'-ends of tRNAs by cleaving the 5'-leader elements of precursor-tRNAs.
Source: RNAcentral
UGAGCUGGCCAGGCGGCCGCGUGGCCCCCUCGGGGGUCCCGAGGAACGUCCGGGCUCCGCAGGGCAGGGUGAUGGCUAACGGCCACCCGGGGUGACCCGCGGGACAGUGCCACAGAGAGCAGACCGCCUCUCGACCUCGGUCGGGAGGUAAGGGUGAAAGGGUGAGGUAAGAGCUCACCGCGCGACUGGUGACAGGAGCGGCAAGGUAAACCCCACCCGGAGCAAGGCCAGACAGGAUGCGUUCGAGGGCUGCCCGCCCGAGCAUCCGGGUAGGUCGCUAGAGGCGUACGGCAACGUGCGUCGUAGAUGGAUGGCCGCCCCUCGUGAGCGGCGACGCGAGCGAGCGACAAAACCCGGCGUAUCGGCCAGCUCAUCCG